GUUGUGGCCCAGUGGUAGAGCACUCGCCUGCCAUGCAUGAGGCACUGGGUUUAAUCCUCAGCACCACA
RNAcentral lists this transfer RNA (68 nucleotides) under Marmota monax (woodchuck). RNAcentral's name for it is "tRNA.Gly". The record is from RNAcentral. Lineage: Eukaryota; Metazoa; Chordata; Mammalia; Rodentia; Sciuridae.